Molecule: long non-coding RNA, 571 nt
Filed under: Oryza brachyantha (malo sina)
Lineage: Eukaryota; Viridiplantae; Streptophyta; Magnoliopsida; Poales; Poaceae
Description: long non-coding RNA (OBRA_LNC001782)
Source: RNAcentral
UAUUCCUAUGGACUCUAAUGAAUCUAAACAUAUAUACAAUAUAGAUCAAUAAAUGAAUUUAGAUAUAGCUAAAAAAUCUUAAUACGAAACUUAGGUAGUAGUGAUUAUUACUGUGUGGUUUGAUAAGACAAUGGUUAUAAUGAAAUAGAAAGUUUCAAGCGUAUGAGUUGUUAGUUAUGUUGUUUGGAUGGUGGGUGUGAGAGUUUUGGGAGGGGGUUGACAGGAGAAAUUUAGAAGCAAAUUUCCACAUCUUCAAAACCUAGAGAGGGGUGAUAGUUUGAAAGGAAAUUAUCCUUUAAGUACAAGAGAAUAAAUCUGAGCCAUAUACCAUAAUUUAAAAUACAACUCGUCUUAAAACUCCCUCUUAUUCACAUACAUGUAUACUUCUAUCAAGAAACUAGAAGUAGAAAUGAAAAUCCAAUAUAUAAUCAAUCCUUCAAUUAACUCUUUCCUCUAAACGCCGGUCAGUCCCUUAGAGCAGGUGCAAUCACAUGCUAUAAACAUAUUUUAAAGAGAUAAAAAGGAGAGAGAAUAGAGUGGGUUAUUAAUUUAUAGUCAGGCUAUACAUGGG